This 307-nucleotide long non-coding RNA is filed under the name Elaeis guineensis (African oil palm). RNAcentral describes it as "long non-coding RNA (EGUI_LNC071133)". The record is from RNAcentral. Lineage: Eukaryota; Viridiplantae; Streptophyta; Magnoliopsida; Arecales; Arecaceae.
CAGUCCAAAUCCGAUUUGAACUGUUUUGGAUAUAGUUCGAAGUCUGGUCUGAAGUCGGACCGAUCCGAACCCACUUUCAGCCCUAUUUUCAAUCAAGGCAUUAAAGUCGAAACCUAGAUACAAUGAAUUCAAGGGGCCAUGGCCCGGUAGAUUGAACCGGAGCCAUUACUCCCUCCAUUUAUUAUCCAUGUCGCCGCUCUCCCGUCCAAAGAUGGGAUGCAUACAUUAACUGCCUACAAAAAGAAAACAGGCAACUCGGGCCUAAUAUAUAGAGAAAGGGAGACCAAUUAGAAGCGUGGGGGGAGAG